AACGGCUGGCGGCGUGCCUAAUACAUGCAAGUCGAACGGUCUUUUCUAUGGAAGCUUGCUUCCACUGAAAAGAUAGUGGCGAACGGGUGAGUAACACGUGGGUAACCUGCCCAUAAGAGGGGGAUAACAUCCGGAAACGGGUGCUAAUACCGCAUAGUUUUCUUGAUCGCAUGAUCGGGAAAGGAAAGACGGCCUUUGUGCUGUCGCUUAUGGAUGGACCCGCGGCGUAUUAGUUAGUUGGUGAGGUAACGGCUCACCAAGACGAUGAUACGUAGCCGACCUGAGAGGGUGAUCGGCCACAUUGGGACUGAGACGCGGCCCAAACUCCUACGGGAGGCAGCAGUAGGGAAUCUUCCGCAAUGGACGAAAGUCUGACGGAGCAACGCCGCGUGAGUGAAGAAAGGUUUUUCGGAUCGUAAAACUCUGUUGUCAGAGAAGAACAAGUUGGAGAGUAACUGCUCCAGCCUUGACGGUAUCUGACCAGAAAGCCACGGCUAACUACGUGCCAGCAGCCGC
RNAcentral lists this ribosomal RNA (516 nucleotides) under uncultured bacterium. Its description in RNAcentral is "bacterial SSU rRNA". It matches the Rfam family "Bacterial small subunit ribosomal RNA", at positions 35 to 518 of the family's 1533-position model. The record is from RNAcentral.